This 134-nucleotide ribosomal RNA is filed under the name uncultured eukaryote. RNAcentral's name for it is "partial small subunit ribosomal RNA". It matches the Rfam family "Eukaryotic small subunit ribosomal RNA", at positions 1651 to 1782 of the family's 1831-position model. The record is from RNAcentral.
CCCUGCCAUUUGUACACACCGCCCGUCGCUACUACCGAUUGAAUGGCUCAGUGAGGCGUUCGGACUGGCUUAGGGAGGUUGGCAACGACCACCCCAAGCCGGAAAGUUCGUCAAACUCGGUCAUUUAGAGGAAG